This 308-nucleotide unclassified non-coding RNA is filed under the name uncultured Ascomycota. RNAcentral's name for it is "sequence contains ITS1". The stretch from base 1 to 105 matches the Rfam family "5.8S ribosomal RNA", at positions 50 to 154 of the family's 154-position model. The record is from RNAcentral. Lineage: Eukaryota; Fungi; Ascomycota.
GAAAUGCGAUAAGUAGUGUGAAUUGCAGAAUUCAGUGAAUCAUCGAAUCUUUGAACGCACAUUGCGCCCCUCGGUAUUCCGUGGGGCACACCUGUUCGAGCGUCAUUUCAACCCUCAGGCUAGCCCACUUUCGUAGGUUUGGCUUGGUCUUGGGCGUCGUCUGUGGACGUGCCUCAAAAUUAUUGGCGGUGUGGGCGCCGGCUUCGAGCGUAGCAGAUGCGAAUCGCUUUGGAAGCCGGAGCCCGCCUGGCCAGGAAUACUUUGAAAUAUUUGACCUCGGAUCAGGUGGGGAUACCCGCUGAACUUAA